Molecule: non-coding RNA, 167 nt
Filed under: bovine gut metagenome
Description: Lysine riboswitch
Rfam family: Lysine riboswitch aptamer
About the family: Riboswitches are metabolite binding domains within certain messenger RNAs that serve as precision sensors for their corresponding targets.
Source: RNAcentral
AUAGAGGCGCAGGGAACAAGAGUCACCCGCAGAAAAAAGGGCGAAUGGCUGCGGGCAAAAGGGGACCCUGCCGAAAGCGCCGCGCCGGUCGCCUCCGGCAGGCCGCUUGGAGCGCAGGAAAAGAUUCUGCGGUCUGUCACAAGGAUACCCUGUGGAGCGCUAUCUGU